Phalacrocorax carbo (great cormorant) is the source of this 2448-nucleotide non-coding RNA. NCBI's taxonomy places the organism in Eukaryota, Metazoa, Chordata, Aves, Suliformes, Phalacrocoracidae. The record is from RefSeq and is a predicted model, not a curated record.
CACUGCCUAGAAACCUUAACCAUGGAUGUGGAUCCUGCUGGGCAGGGUGCUCUCUGAAUGGUGGAAAAAAAGGUGAACUUGCCCAACAAGCAAAUACAAGAAGGGGGGAGUUGGUGAGCAGCUGGGUGCGGGGGCUGAGUUGCUGCCUGGGGUUGAACCACAACACUUAAGUCCUGAACAAGCAUGGCUGAUGGACUUCACAUUUAUAGACCUUCCUUUUAGAAGAUCGGGGUAAAUCUACCCUAUCAUCUGCAACUACAUGUACAAAGAAGAAGCUAGAGGGAGUGAAUUCUUACUGGUAUGAUGAACUGUGGUGUAGUCGCUGAUGAGCAAGUGACAGACUGUCAGUGUGCACCCACCUGCCAGCCCCAAAGCCACCUGCAGUCUCCGGGUGUUGGGCCACCGUCAGCUCCAGCACAGAAGAAACCUCGGAAAGAUUUCCGUCAGAACCGGUGUCCCCAUGCACAAAAGCAGCUGAGAGAUGUUUCUUCAUUCAGUGAAUUCACCAGCUGAAAAACAGCAGAGUCCAGAGUUGGGACAGGAAUAAAGCAUGCAAGUGAUGAAUCUUCAAAGGAAAAAAGGUCAUUUUUCUUCCUUGCGAAGUCUCCCAAGUUAAUCAGCUGGAUCCCUUUAAGGAAUCUUGGAGUGUUUGCCAUUGACCAGCAGCGAGUUGGCAUUGACAGCAAAGGACUGAUUGACUGAAAGAGAAGCAAGCAGAUGAGUCAAGGGAAUUAACUUAAAUGUAGACUGCUAAUGAAAGGGACAAGCGCUUUCCUCCUCCCCAUAGAUCUUCCUUGAAGCAUCUCCAGGGACAACUUCCAAAGCAGCAAAAACUGAAACAGCAUAAUUAAGAGUGAUUUUUGUAGAAAUCAUUAAUAUGCACAAAGAAACUCUGCAAAAUUCUUAUUGUAAGGCUGUUGAUUCUAAGGCAGUAAAUUAUAGUUGUGGAGAUGCAUAUAUUUGCCUUUGCUCAAGCUUCAUAAGUAACAUGAAGCAUUAGGAAUAAUUUCAUAGUUGUUACAUUUGAAAUUUCAUUAUAGUUCUGAUUUUGUUCCUUUCUAAAAUGUAUCCAAAACCUUUACAUAUACCAGCUUUCGGCAUUAGUUUUGAAGGAUUAAGUCUUACUCUGAUCAGAUUUGAAAUAAAAUAGGUAAAGGCUUUCUGAGCUCCUGAUAAAUCCCAUCAUAAUUAAAAAAGGAAAAUUUAUUUUAAGCCUAGAUUGAAGGAUUUCUUGAGGAUGAUACUGCUGCAGUUUACUAUCCACUACAAUUGCAAUUAAUAAUGUAAUUACAACCAAAAUGGAUCUGAAGUAGGAAUAUUGACAACAAAUAGUGACUCUGAAAAGCAUUGCAUGUUACGGCAAAACUUGUUGGCAUAUGACAAUAUCAAAGACUUUUGUCUCUCACUUUUGACAUUGUUUGACCAGAUCUGGGAGAUGCAAGGCCAAGAGGUUAAAAAAAAUGCCCUUAUUUUAUAGAAAAUAAAGUAACCAAGUGACUUUACAGUCCAUGUCAGGGCUGCCAACUCCAGCAAUGAACCAAAUUUAGAAGCUGUUACAUGAAGAGUCUGCAGGAAAUUAAAUUUAAAUGGUUUCCAUGAAUAAAUAUCUUCUAAACUAGGUAUAUAUAUAGUUUGCUGAAUUGUAUUUAUGAUACCUUUGCCCUGACUUUCUUGUGUUCUACAGAAGUAGUGUUUUUUAAGGAAGGUUUCUAUUCAGUGAUUAUUACGAGCCCUUGACUGUGAAGAACACAAAUUGCAAGGUCCAAGUGUGUCUGUGGAAAUCGUGAUUGAUAGACAAGGGAAUAAACUUGGGCCUCCACCCUCAGUUAGGGAUAACAGCUGAAGUCUUGAAUCAUGAAUGGUUUUCUUUUGGAUAGAGGACGGGUACAAUAUGUCAAGAGGAACAGCUAGCUGCUUUUCCUUGAUUUUUUAAUGGAUGUUUGCCAUGCCUAUGUGUUUGAAUGUAGCUGGUGGAUUUCAGUGAAUUAUUAAAGACUUGACCAAGUACUGAAUUCAACAGAAAAGAUAAUUUGUGUUAGUAAGGAAUCACAAAAUAAAAAAUAUAUACACGUGUGACCACAAAAGUCAAGAGCAAUGGAAAACUGUUCCUUUAGAUAAAGGUGAGGCCAGGUAAGAGAGAACUAGAGAAAACAAAGUCUCAAGCAAAACAGCACCUUCAUCAGUAGAAAGUGGAGCUGUAUUGGCUGUCGGAAGAGUAAGAAAACAAUAUUAGAAGAGAAAAUGGCAUGGCCUUUUCCUGUUCCUCUUAGUCAUGGUUCAGCUGGGUAUCUUUCUGAAUUUGUAUUGGCAUUACCUUGGGACAGCUACGAGUUACUGUAAAUUAGAGGUGAUAUUUAAUUGCUGGUAAAUUUGCCACAAAAUAUGAAACGAAAUCUAAUUCUCAAGUUCUCUUUGUAAUCCACAUUUAUUUUUCUUCGAAGGAAACAC